AAAUCUGUAAUUUUUUUUUUUAAAGCUACCGCAAUUCAUUUUUUAUUUUUUUUUUGAAACAAAAGACACAAAAGAAAAGGAAGAGAAAAAAAAAAUUUAAAAUUAAGAAUUACUAAAGAAAAUGCAAAAUAUAAAAAAAACAAGGAUAUUAAUGAACAAGUCACAAACGAAAUAGUAUGAUAAACAAAUAGCAAAAAGAAAAUACAAAAGGAGAGAUAGAACCUGAUUUGGAGCUAACGCUCUGAUAACAAAAUUGAUGUGAACCUCAAUAACGAUGCCUUUAAACCCACGAGCAGGUUUGUUUUAUAAUCCCAAUA
Molecule: unclassified non-coding RNA, 317 nt
Filed under: Hevea brasiliensis (rubber tree)
Lineage: Eukaryota; Viridiplantae; Streptophyta; Magnoliopsida; Malpighiales; Euphorbiaceae
Source: RNAcentral